ACGGGUGAGUAAUGUCUGGGAAACUGCCCGAUGGAGGGGGAUAACUACUGGAAACGGUAGCUAAUACCGCAUAACGUCGCAAGACCAAAGUGGGGGACCUUCGGGCCUCACACCAUCGGAUGUGCCCAGAUGGGAUUAGCUAGUAGGUGGGGUAAUGGCUCACCUAGGCGACGAUCCCUAGCUGGUCUGAGAGGAUGACCAGCCACACUGGAACUGAGACACGGUCCAGACUCCUACGGGAGGCAGCAGUGGGGAAUAUUGCACAAUGGGCGCAAGCCUGAUGCAGCCAUGCCGCGUGUAUGAAGAAAGCCUUCGGGUUGUAAAGUACUUUCAGCGGGGAGGAAGGCGGUGAAGUUAAUAGCUUCACCGAUUGACGUUACCCGCAGAAAAAGCACCGGCUAACUCCGUGCCACCAGCCGCGGUAAUACGGAGGGUGCAAGCGUUAAUCGGAAUUACUGGGCGUAAAGCGCACGCAGGCGGUCUGUCAAGUCUGAUGUGAAAUCCCCGGGCUUAACCUGGGAACUGCAUUCGAAACUGGCAGGCUAGAGUCUUGUAGAGGGGGGUAGAAUUCCACGUGUAUCG
This 582-nucleotide ribosomal RNA is filed under the name uncultured Enterobacteriaceae bacterium. RNAcentral's name for it is "bacterial SSU rRNA". It matches the Rfam family "Bacterial small subunit ribosomal RNA", at positions 102 to 680 of the family's 1533-position model. The record is from RNAcentral. Lineage: Bacteria; Pseudomonadati; Pseudomonadota; Gammaproteobacteria; Enterobacterales; Enterobacteriaceae.